Molecule: long non-coding RNA, 988 nt
Organism: Oncorhynchus gorbuscha (pink salmon)
Lineage: Eukaryota; Metazoa; Chordata; Actinopteri; Salmoniformes; Salmonidae
Exons: 3
Source: RefSeq, a predicted model, not a curated record
CCAAUAGAACUCACGGGUAGUUUGAAAGAAGAGUGAACGGGCGCAAUGACGGACGUCAAUAGAAUGAUGAAGAUAAUGACAAUGAAACCGUUGAAAGCAAGGAUGGAAGGAGGCAACAAUAGAGAAAGAGAGCCAUUGAAGAGUCGGACGUCAUUCCACAGGACACAAUCAACAGCCGGAUCAACUCUACGCGAAGGAGAUGUUGCGCUCGAGGGAAAUGGUGGUCACAACAGAUACCGACUUGUUUUCUGAUCCACACAUCUGUGACCAAACCGAUGCAUAUCUGUAUUCCCAGUCGUGUGAAAUCCAUAGAUUAGAAUCGAGUGAAUUUAUUUAAAUUGACUUAGUUUCCUUAUGUACUGUAACUCUGUAAAAUCUUGGUUGUUGCAGGCCGCGUUUAUAUUUUUUUCUGCUCCGUGUAAUUAGGCCACCUUUUCACUGCUAUUUCCCAUGAUGCGUGUAUUUGUGUGUAUUGUCAUGUUUAAUGCUGUUACAGUAUGUCCAAUCUAUGUUCUCCUCUAGGCUGAGGGGACUCAGCAGCUGUGACUCCACUCCUUCAGAUGCGCUAUAGUCACUCUUAUGUUCUACCUUCAUGCCUAAACGGAGUACUGUACCUUUCACUUAGAACCAGGCGAUCUCUUUGUAGUCUGAGUGGAACAUCCCCUCAACUUAAAUGAACUUGUCAAAAAUGUCACGCAGAACCAUUGAAUGUAGUGAAGGUAUGUAGGAAAACUAUUUUUUGGUGAAAUAUCUAACAUAGAAAUCUCCACCUUCCUGCCAAUGUUGGUUGCAAUUACCCAACACAGUGUACGGUACAUUGUAUAGACCACAUGAACGUUUACAAUUUGUGAAACCAUACACCACUGUUAUCACUAGUGUAGGAUUUCGGUUGUAGAACUAUACUUUUAAUGUGUUAUUUCAAAGUAUUUUAUGAUGCUUGAAAUGUGAGUAAUCUGCAAUGAAUUCAGUACUAUUAUUGUGAAAUAAA